UGCAAAACUAGUUUAUUUACAAAACAAAUGGCACAGUUGUGACAGUCGGUGCUUGUGCACAGUUUGGAGAAUAAGAGUGAGCUGCCCCAACCAGAAGACCUAACUGGAAAAACACAUCGGCACAAGCUUGUGGCUAAACCCCGAAGGGCUUCGCUGAUCAGAGUGGGCAAAUAUUGCCCAGGAGAAACCGUGGAAGAUAUCAUUAAGGCAAGUUUCACCAAUCACACGCAGAAGGCGAGCAGCACACGUUGGAAAAACCCUCUGCGUCUUACUGGAAUUUCGUUAUAACAAAUGAGAGAGCUAGUGUAAAUGUCUGGACCACACAUGAACCGUUGCAAAGAAGAAAGGGAGUGAGUGAGUGAGUGAGUGAGUAAAACUAGUAAAAUCCUAAAAAAGGUUUCUGUUCAAUUGUUUCAGUCAGAUAACCGUGCAUUCACACCUGCGAGUAGAAAUUGCGACUACAUCUACUACUUCAAAAGCCAAAACGUUUCGUUUCCACAUGUGAACGGGUAAAGGAUGGCGAUAGAAAGCUAGGGAAGGAAAUGGACACAAAAGAACAAAGAGAGAGAACGAGAGCGACACACACACACACGUAAAAUGGAGGUAAAGCAGAGAUUGAAGCAUCAGGAAUGGUAACAGGAAAGUCCUCGCAGAGUUCAUAUCAAACAGCUAGUUUGCUGGCCACCAGCGAGGUCUUCCUUUGUGGCAGGUCCUGAGGAGUUGGGAUGUGAUCUCCGGUGAUCUCGGUUUUCUCCGCCGCAGCUGCAGGAAGCUGUUUAUUCUUCAUUUUGGCUUUGGCCAUAUUGUAAUCUCCUGAGUCAAAGUACUUUUGCUGGAGAAAAGAAUGAGCAUUGAUUAAUAUAUCAAAACACUAACAUUAAUAUACCAAACACUCUAGAGCAGUGGUCACCAAUCCUGUUCCUGGAGAUCUACCUUCAUGAAGACUUUAGCUCCAACCAUAAUCGCACCUUGAUCAAUUAAAACAGGUGUGUUAGACUUGGAGUGGUUGGACAUGAAGAAGAUAAAGAACCGCCCUACGUCCCAAUUCGCCUACUAUCCAUCCUAAACAGUAUCCGAGAUUCGAUUUAGCGUGUCCCAGAUCGUAGUAUGUUGAAAUGACAAUCCCAAGGAUACCCGGAUGGUCAAUUGUUUCCAGGAGAUUUUCGAAGUGUGGAUCCGAGGACAACUUUUCAGCGAAUAUUUCCCACAACUCCUUGCGUGAGGGAGGAAGAGGAGGAGGAGGAGGAGUUUUGUGACCGUUUGCUUCGCCAAAUUCAAGCACGUGUUUUAGAAAGGUUCCAAUGAAACGCAGGGGGAAAAAAAUUAAAUCAAGGAAAUGAUCAAUUAUAUAAUGUAAAUUACGUAAGGAAUAACGAAUGAAGAAAAGCUGAAACGCAACGAGGAGUUUGUUCACGGCGACAGCGUUCAAGUCAAUUCAAUUCAAUUUGUAUAGCGCUUUUAAUGAUGGACAUUGCCUCAAAGCAGCUUUACAGAAACAUAUAAACACAGGAUAGAGAUUUUAAGUGUGUGAAUUUAUCCCUAUUGAGCGAGCCGGUGGUGACGGUGGCGAGGAAAAACUCCCUAAGAUGAAAUGAGGAAGAAACCUUGAGAGGAACCGGACUCAGAAGGGAACCCGUCCUCAUCUGGGUCACAACGGAUAGUGUGAAAGUUAAAGAAAGUUCAUUAUGGUUUUAUAUGAAGUCUGUUUGUUGAACUAGUCCACUGUUCACGAAAGGAGACCCGAGUGCAAAACUGUACGUGGUAAUUGCAGUCCCAAGGCCAUCGCAGCAACCGUAGUCCCGUAGUUCUCUUCCGUUACAGGACAUGUUGGUAUUUCCUAGUACUCGCAUACUCUUUUAAUACACACUCAAAAGUAUGUACAUUUAGUAUACAGUUGUGCCCAAAAGUUUGCAUACCCCUUGCAGAAUCUGCUAAAUUGUAAUACUGUUAACAAAAUAAGAUUGAUCAUAAAAAUCCCAUGUUGUUUAUUUAGUCCUGUCCUGAAUAAGCGAUUUCACAUAACAGAUGCUUACACAUAAUCCACAAGACAAGAUUAUAGCUGAAUUUAUCAAAAUUACCCCGUUCAAAAGUUUACACACGCUUGAUUAUUAAUACCGUGUGUCGUUACCUGGAUGAUCAGUGACUGUGUUUAUGUUUUGUGAGAGUUGUUCAUGAGUCUCUUGUUUGUCCUGAGCAGUUAAACUACCCACUGUUCUUCAGAAAAAUCCUCCAGGUCCUGCACAUUCUUUACUUUCCCAGCAUAUUCUGCAUAUUUGACCUCUUUCCAACAGCAGCUAUGUGAUGUUCAGAUCCAUCUUUUCACACUGAGGACAACUGGGGGACUCGCACACGACUAUUACAAAAGGUGCAAACGUUCACUCAUGCUCAAGAAGGCAACACGAUACAUUAAGAUCCAGGAGGAUGUCAACUUUUGAACAGGAAAGAAGAUCUUUAAACAAAACAAUAACAAUUUACACCGAUCAUCCGGUUCAAAAAUGUUCAUUAUUAUCUUGUCUUGCGGACUGUGUACGCAUCUGUUAUGUGAAAGAGCUUAUUCAGGACAGUACUAGAUAAAAAACAUGGGAUUUUUAAUGAUCGCUCUUAUUUUGUUAACAGUAUUACGAUUUAGCAGAUUGUGAAAGGGGUGUGCAAACCUUUGGGCACGACUGUGCAAGUCGGGACGCAGGGUCGGUGAGCACUGCUCUAAAGCGGUCAGGUUCGUUGUAAUGGCUCGUGAUCAGCACAUCAUCUGAGCAAUAAGGAAAUUCAUUUCUGCACGGCAUGCUUGUUUGGACACGGAAUCAUACCCCUUUCUGGAGUCUUUUCCUCAGCAGGUCUGAGCCUCCUGGCUUAGUGCCCAGAUGAGGAUAUCUAGCCUUCAGCUUAGCUUCUUCUGCCUUCUCAGGACUCACGACUUUAUCCUGCAUCUCCUGUACGACAUGGGGAGUGAAUAAAGGACAAGGGAGAGUUAGUAAACAAACAAAUAUAGAAUUAAACUAUAAAUAAACUCGGUGGUCAACAAGUGGGUAAUCCCAAACAGGCUUCCAGAGCUGCAGGGCAUGUUCAUGCUGAGAUUAGUGAAGAAGGAUGACGUUAUAUCAGAGCAAUGCUGGGCAAAUAUACACGCCAUGAUCAUUUCCAG
This is a long non-coding RNA of Ictalurus punctatus (channel catfish), 3142 nucleotides long. The record is from Ensembl. NCBI's taxonomy places the organism in Eukaryota, Metazoa, Chordata, Actinopteri, Siluriformes, Ictaluridae.